RNAcentral lists this ribosomal RNA (476 nucleotides) under uncultured organism. Its description in RNAcentral is "partial 16S ribosomal RNA". It matches the Rfam family "Bacterial small subunit ribosomal RNA", at positions 331 to 798 of the family's 1533-position model. The record is from RNAcentral.
GUACACUCCUGCGGGAGGCAGCAGUGGGGAAUUUUGGACAAUGGGCGAAAGCCUGAUCCAGCAAUGCCGCGUGUGUGAAGAAGGCCUUCGGGUUGUAAAGCACUUUUGUCCGGAAAGAAAUCCUUGGCUCUAAUACAGUCGGGGGAUGACGGUACCGGAAGAAUAAGCACCGGCUAACUACGUGCCAGCAGCCGCGGUAAUACGUAGGGUGCGAGCGUUAAUCGGAAUUACUGGGCGUAAAGCGUGCGCAGGCGGUUUGCUAAGACCGAUGUGAAAUCCCCGGGCUCAACCUGGGAACUGCAUUGGUGACUGGCAGGCUAGAGUAUGGCAGAGGGGGGUAGAAUUCCACGUGUAGCAGUGAAAUGCGUAGAGAUGUGGAGGAAUACCGAUGGCGAAGGCAGCCCCCUGGGCCAAUACUGACGCUCAUGCACGAAAGCGUGGGGAGCAAACAGGAUUAGAUACCCCGGUAGUCCCAU